RNAcentral lists this ribosomal RNA (333 nucleotides) under uncultured Azospira sp. Its description in RNAcentral is "bacterial SSU rRNA". It matches the Rfam family "Bacterial small subunit ribosomal RNA", at positions 568 to 898 of the family's 1533-position model. Lineage: Bacteria; Pseudomonadati; Pseudomonadota; Betaproteobacteria; Rhodocyclales; Rhodocyclaceae. The record is from RNAcentral.
UGCGCAGGCGGUUACUUAAGUCAGGUGUGAAAGCCCUGGGCUUAACCUAGGAAUUGCGCUUGAGACUGGGUAGCUUUGAGUGUGGCAGAGGGAGGUGGAAUUCCACGUGUAGCAGUGAAAUGCGUAGAGAUGUGGAGGAACACCGAUGGCGAAGGCAGCCUCCUGGGCCAGCACUGACGCUCAUGCACGAAAGCGUGGGGAGCAAACAGGAUUAGAUACCCUGGUAGUCCACGCCCUAAACGAUGUCAACUGGUUGUUGGUGGGGUUAAACCCAUUAGUAACGAAGCUAACGCGUGAAGUUGACCGCCUGGGGAGUACGGCCGCAAGGUUAAA